GACGAACGCUGGCGGCGUGCCUAAUACAUGCAAGUUGAGCGCUGAAGGUUGGUACUUGUACCAACUGGAUGAGCAGCGAACGGGUGAGUAACGCGUGGGGAAUCUGCCUUUGAGCGGGGGACAACAUUUGGAAACGAAUGCUAAUACCGCAUAAAAACUUUAAACACAAGUUUUAAGUUUGAAAGAUGCAAUUGCAUCACUCAAAGAUGAUCCCGCGUUGUAUUAGCUAGUUGGUGAGGUAAAGGCUCACCAAGGCGAUGAUACAUAGCCGACCUGAGAGGGUGAUCGGCCAAAUUGGGACUGAGAAACGGCCCAAACUCCUACGGGAGGCAGCAGUAGGGAAUCUUCGGCAAUGGACGAAAGUCUGACCGAGCAACGCCGCGUGAGUGAAGAAGGUUUUCGGAUCGUAAAACUCUGUUGGUAGAGAAGAACGUUGGUGAAAGUGGAAAGCUCAUCAAGUGACGGUAACUACCCAGAAAGGGACGGCUAACUACGUG
RNAcentral lists this ribosomal RNA (497 nucleotides) under uncultured bacterium. Its description in RNAcentral is "partial 16S ribosomal RNA". It matches the Rfam family "Bacterial small subunit ribosomal RNA", at positions 28 to 507 of the family's 1533-position model. The record is from RNAcentral.